GAUGAACGCUGACAGAAUGCUUAACACAUGCAAGUCUACUUGAAUUUGGGUUUUUUAACUUAGAUUUGGGUGGCGGACGGGUGAGUAACGCGUAAAGAACUUGCCUCACAGCUAGGGACAACAUUUGGAAACGAAUGCUAAUACCUGAUAUUAUGAUUUUAAGGCACCUUAGAAUUAUGAAAGCUAUAUGCGCUGUGAGAGAGCUUUGCGUCCCAUUAGCUAGUUGGAGAGGUAACGGCUCACCAAGGCGAUGAUGGGUAGCCGGCCUGAGAGGGUGAACGGCCACAAGGGGACUGAGACACGGCCCUUACUCCUACGGGAGGCAGCAGUGGGGAAUAUUGGACAAUGGACCAAGAGUCUGAUCCAGCAAUUCUGUGUGCACGAUGACGUUUUUCGGAAUGUAAAGUGCUUUCAGUUGGGAAGAAAAAAAUGACGGUACCAACAGAAGAAGUGACGGCUAA
RNAcentral lists this ribosomal RNA (461 nucleotides) under Fusobacterium sp. oral taxon 203. RNAcentral's name for it is "bacterial SSU rRNA". It matches the Rfam family "Bacterial small subunit ribosomal RNA", at positions 28 to 500 of the family's 1533-position model. Lineage: Bacteria; Fusobacteriati; Fusobacteriota; Fusobacteriia; Fusobacteriales; Fusobacteriaceae. The record is from RNAcentral.